CACUCUGGAUUUAAUAAUAACGAGGAGGUGGAUGGGAGAUUAUGGAAGCGGUGGCUGAGUGGUAAUGAGGUAAUUUCGCAACGUGUUGCGAAAGAGGCGUGGUUGGUAAGUCAUCUCGUCUCACAAGAGAAACUGUUUAUUGACAUCCAGGCUACUCCAAUGAAUUUAUAACCUAAAUCUGUAUCCUGUCUGGAUUUAGGUUACAGUGCGUCUGUGGUGGGCGGUAAGCCGUUGUAGUAACGUUAUCCUACUUCAUUUGCUUUUAAGUCGGUAUAAUCUUUCCUAUAAUGUCACAAUUGCCACGCUUUGUUUGUUAAAUAUAUAAUUAGUUUUACAAUUGUUCAAAGGCUUCUUCUUAUUUAAAGGCAUGCGUGACCGCGAUUAGACUAUUGCGAUGUAGGUGCGCAGUUUCCAGCGUUGUUUCCAACGUUACCCGGAAAUAAGCAAAGCAUUCGCUCUCAGCUGUUUCCUUAUAAAACAUGUCUGUGCGGAUUUGAGGCUCAUUUUUCUUCGGAGCCGCUGAGGAGCAGGAUGGGAUGGAGAGGUGAGCUGGAUGCUUGCUGCAGGAGGAUGUUGCGCACUUCAGUUUACCUCAGGAGUGAAGUGGUCUGAGCAUCCAUGCGGCACUGCGUAAUGAUUUAAUUGAUGAGGUAGAUUUUGCUGCUGUUUAUGUCUAUAUCCCUUUUUUGUUUGUUAGCAGCGGCGCAGAUAUGAAUGUCAUUUUUUUCAGCUUUUGAUAUCCAGUAGUUUCCAAUUCAUAGCAGGAAGUUUAAAAGUAGGAGAAAAUACUUUGAGCUAGUUAUUGUCAAAUUCGUAAGAGAAUCUAUAUAUUGCUGCUACUUUUUUCAGGAAAUGUAUAUUGCGGGCCAGUCACUUGAAUUUUGUUCCUAUUGCACCUGUCAGAGCGUGUCAUGAUGUGCGUAUAUUAGCGUUUCCAGCUGAACAAACUGUAUAUAAACUGUAACAUGUGUUAAGACAUGUGAAAGUAGUUACCUCUUCAUUCAAGAGACUUUGAGUGUGUAUAGUUAAAAUUAUGUAAGAUUGUUUUUCUCAUUGCUCAUGUGCAGAGACGACCUUAAAUUAGUUUAUUUCUUAAAACGUACUAUUGUUUCUUUCUUUUUUUUUUCCCAAUGUGGUUGUUUGUAAAUCUAUAUAUUGCAUGUGCCUGCUGUGCCAGGGCCUUGACUCAGCUCCAUCCAUCCAGAGGUUUCUAUGUCAUACGCACUUUUUAUUCCUGAUGUAAACAAACCCCCCAAUAGCAAUACUCUUAUUUAACACAGGAUGGCGUAUUUCUGCAGGCUUAGAUCUUGUACUGAGCUUGAAGUUAUCCUACAGAGUGGUUUUGAAAUGAGUCUGUUUUUAUUGGGAAAUACUGAUAUAACAGUGCAGUUUUCACAUCUAAACGAGGGCCAAUAAAUGUAUGUUUUUAUGCAUUUUAUGCCUAAUAACUAUUGACAGAAGGACUGGCACACCUAUCGGUUGCGCUUUGGAAAACAAGUCAUGACAUCUUGUGACGUCAAAACCCAAGACUGACUGCAGUCAGUUGACCAAUUGAUUUGCUGACUGCUUCAGAGGCACAGAAAGAGAAAAGGUUCGAUGUUGUGAUAGAAUAGGCCUUAAUGAAAUGAAUAUUUUUGGAUAAUCCAACAAAAUAACAGAAUUAACCUUUGAAAUUUUAAUUGCUUGCCCUCCUGAUGAAUAUUGUUAUUCCUCUUUUCACAGGCAGAAAACAGGUAUUGCUUUCAACUCCCUGAAAGGUAAGCAGAUUCAGUAAGACAAGUGGCACGACGGAGCAGCAGCACACUUUUUAUAUCAGGCAUUGUCAAAAAGUUUUAGCCAUCUGCCUUUCUGAUUAUCAGUUGCAUAUUUACAGUAUUUACGUGUAGGGUGUGGCCAAAGGGUCAGCAGUCAUAUACAUACAGUACUUACGACUGACAUUUUAAGUUUAAAAUUGCACCAAAAGUGCAUCAAAAGUGUCGCAUUAACUCCGAGCUCAUUAUAUCUGUACAAAGGUUAUUUUUCUCCGACUUGUCCAACACUGUGAUGCCAGAAACUGCUGAGCUGACGGGAAACGUUUGAAUGCAUUAUGUAGUAUGUUUAACAUGCCAUGAAAUAAUGCCUGGGUUUUUCUCAGGACCUGCUGAGGUUAAAGCUCUCCACGACUUGUUUUUCAUCAUACAGCACACAACGCUGUAACACAAGCGGACGACGCCUGAUGAGAGCCGAGUUUGCAUUCUUCCGACUGCAAACCAGCUUCGUGAACAUUUAGAAAUGAGGAAUCAUCUGAUUGAGUGGCUGGAGAGCUAUUCUACCAAGCAACAGAGAGGAGAGGAAUUGUCGAGGCAGCGGCAGGACUAGUGUCUGUCUGCACAGAGCUGCAGGUGAGCCUGUAUGUAGUAAGAUAUACAGCGGUGUUUUGUGUGUCUGUUCUUGUUUGGCCCUUCGCACAUCCGCGAAGCUUGGAUCAAGUAUCGGAUCAGUCGCGUGGGUGUGUUAGAGAGAAAUAGAUUGAGAAAGAGAGAGAGGUGUUCUGGUGCUUUCUCAGUGGUUUUCCAUUUCAUCUCUCUCUUACUUUCCCUUCAUUUGCUUUCCUCCUCUCUGCUUUCUGGCCUGUACCACAGCGGUGAAUUAAACUUCUUUCUGGUCAGGAGCCUGAGAGCCUAUACCAUCCCAGAGUGCAUUAUAUAUGGGGUCUCUUACAGUCUCCAAGAUCUGUCAGGCUUCCCUGUAACAUCAUCUUGAUCCAGUCAAAAACAAGUUAGAGACAGACAACACAAGUUACAGCUCACUGUGCCCAUUACUUAUUUAAAGAUACGCAUCAGCGUAAAGGAGACUAAUGAGGGAUUGUUAAAGAACUUAAUUGUUCUAUUUGCAAAUGGUAAGGCCUCUAGAUCGACUGAAACUUAACAUGACAAUGCCUCUAAUAGAUGUUACCUCUUCAUUCGCAGAGUUAACUCUUCCAACUGAAAGACUUAGUGUUGUUUGAUUAAAUGCCAUAUUGCUGUGUCUAUGUCUUUCCCUUACCGGAUUUUUCUUAGGGCGUCUCCUAUCUUGAUGAGGGUUUACAGUUUCAGGUGAUGAGUGGUAAGAGUGAAGUACCUGAUGAGAAAUAGAUGUCUAACAAUAAACAAAAUACAUAAUUAGUUCGAUGUCGACAAACACUUGUAAUUCUUGUCAAAAUGUGGAUGAGAACACGCUGUGUGCCUAGAGUACAAACUUUUUCAUGCCAAGGGAUCCUAAGUUCAAUUUCUGCCCCCUACUUCCAUAACACAUUUUGCCGUCUUGAAAAUAUUAAUUCCAAUAAUGAGAAUAGUCCAAUAAAAACAUUUAGUAUGUGUUAGAGACUUCAAAUCCCGGACUGUCUCUAAGGCAACUGCCAUAUCAGUACGUAUCACAUCUACAGUAUUGUUCUAGGCUCUUUGUUAAUUACACAUGCAUGCGGAUAUCACGCUGCAUGUGUAUCUCCUGCUGCAUCUGAGUCACUCUUUUGUACUCUCAAAUUUCUUUUUGUUUCAGUUAGUCUUUCUAAAAAGUUUUUGAAAUCCCCAGAGGGGCUCAUGUUUCUACUACAUCCAUUAUAAAGGAGAAUUGCUUAUUUCUCGUGUCAAAGUGUCAACUGCUACUAAUUGUUUUCCACUAUUUUCUGCUAAUUAUAUUUUCCACUGUUUUCUAGAUUCAAAAGCGUUUUACGCCACAGAACAAUGCCCUUUGUCAGAAGUGCCCCCCUUGGAAGCUGGUUUCAGAUGGUGGCUUAGAGUAUUGUCAUCUAUCUAGCACCAUUUGAAAUCAGUGUUCUUAGGGUGGGAAGUGUGUUUCACUUACCAGCAACAGGCAGCUGUGAUGUGUCACAAGAGGUGUUCAGUGAUAAAGGUGAAAUUAAGAGACUUCACCUGGAAGGUAUCCCUCUCUGAAGCGACCCUCAGCGAGCUACAAGCCACCAGUGCACAGUGAUGUUUGGACAGCUCAAGCUCUUUGUCCUCUCUCCAAGGUUGACCGAUUUCUUUUGGUGUUCAGAGUCUGCUUUUGUUUCUAGCACCAUUUGAAAUCGGUUACAGUGAAGGACAGAUCUCAUCUUUCCUUGAGGAUUUUGCAACUAAGCUGUGCCCUUUAUUUUACAGAUUGUGUGUUGAUUAUGGUGACAUUUUGUUAAGAAAAAAAAACAAAAAAAACAAAUUACUCUCACAGUGGCUACUAAUAAGCCUCUUCGGAAAUUACUAGUGGCAAGUUCGCCAUUGAUCCAGUGUCUCUCAGUCAUAUCUGAUAAGAUGUUUGCAAUGGAGAAAGAAAAAUUCAGAUCAUUUACUUAAGUAAAAUAUAUAAUGCUUAAUAAAGUAACAAUACCACAAUAUCAAAUUACUUUUACUUAUAUUUUAUUAUUAUAUAUCAUUGGAUUUUCAGUACUGAUGCAUUAAUAUGUAAGCAGUUUGAGAGAAUUAUAACUACUUCAUGUAAUGUUGGGUAGUUUGAUCUAUAACAAUGCAUCAUGUUUUCUAUGUAAAAUCCUGUCUAAGUAAUUAGCAGAUUUACUGUCAAAUACGUGGAGUCACACAAAAAUUGUAAUAUUUCCCUCUGAAAUUGAAUAAUGUAUAAAGUAAAAUUAAAUGAAAAUAGUACAGCACAGUACUUGAGUAAAUUUACUUUCCAUUACUGGAUAUUUUACUUCAUGAAGGGAUCAUUUGAAAAUUUCAGUGUCAAAUCCACAAGGUGGCACUGUAUAACAUACAAUACCACAUUACAGGGAUUAUGCCUCUGCACCUACAGUCUCAGGUAUGUUUAGGGUAACUGUAAACUGUUUCCAUUUUAAUCACUAACUCAGUUAAAUUAUGUUUUCUUUCAUUACAUGGGACCUAACAUCUGCUUCACCUAAAUAAUGUAAUGUAAUGGCCUAUUAAAUUUUUACUGUAAAGACUUGUGCUUUUACUUCAGUAAAUCACAUCCACAAGUUAAAUGUUUAGUAUGUAUAGGCCUUGCAGUAAAUAUUAAUUUGAAUAUUGUGAGAUAAUUACAAAUUACUACUGUAUUACACCUUAUUCAUGAAUAGCGACACCUAUAUACUGUAUAUCAGAUGACUCAUCUGUAAUGUGGACAAUAAAAUUGUUAAUUUGUCAGUUAUUUCCAUUGA
Molecule: long non-coding RNA, 5122 nt
Organism: Thunnus maccoyii (southern bluefin tuna)
Lineage: Eukaryota; Metazoa; Chordata; Actinopteri; Scombriformes; Scombridae
Exons: 3
Source: RefSeq, a predicted model, not a curated record